Molecule: ribosomal RNA, 441 nt
Filed under: uncultured bacterium
Lineage: Bacteria
Description: bacterial SSU rRNA
Rfam family: Bacterial small subunit ribosomal RNA
Source: RNAcentral
UACGGGAGGCAGCAGUGGGGAAUAUUGCACAAUGGGCGCAAGCCUGAUGCAGCCAUGCCGCGUGUAUGAAGAAGGCCUUCGGGUUGUAAAGUACUUUCAGUCGUGAAGGAAGGUGUUAAGGUUAAUAACCUUAGCAAUUGACGUUAGCGACAGAAGAAGCACCGGCUAACUCCGUGCCAGCAGCCGCGGUAAUACGGAGGGUGCGAGCGUUAAUCGGAAUUACUGGGCGUUAAAGGGCACGCAGGCGGUUAAUUAAGUUGGAUGUGAAAUCCCCGGGCUUAACCUGGGAAUGGCAUUCAAGACUGGUUAGCUAGAGUCUUGUAGAGGGGGUUAGAAGUUCCAUGUGUAGCGGUGAAAUGCGUAGAGAUGUGGAGGAAUACCGGUGGCGAAGGCGGCCCCUGGACAAAGACUGACGCUCAUGUGCGAAAGCGUGGGGAGCAA